UUGAUACCCUAUUAUACUAAACGUAGAAUAUUAUAUGCUUGAGUAGUAAUCAGUUAUGUUCUUGAAAUUUAAAGGAUUUGGCGGUAUUCAAGUCUAGUUAGAGGAACCUGUUCUUUAAACGAUAUGCCACGAAUAAUCUUACUUUUUUUUGUUCUCAGUUUGUAUACCGCCAUUAUUAGGUAAUGUUUUAAAAUAUUUACUGUAAUAGUUUCCUUUAGUAUAUUAGGUCAAGGUGCAGCCAAUAGAAAAGUAGUUAUGGGUUACAUUUUAUUUUAUAAUUCGGAUGAGGUGUUGAAUUGUAUCUUUAAAGUCGGAUUUAAUUGUAAUCCUGUUUUAAUAAGUCAGGUUGAUAAUAGCUCUAGAGUAUGUACACACGCCCCGCUCUAAA
Molecule: ribosomal RNA, 388 nt
Filed under: Nippontonia minirostris
Lineage: Eukaryota; Metazoa; Arthropoda; Malacostraca; Decapoda; Palaemonidae
Description: partial 12S ribosomal RNA
Source: RNAcentral